Molecule: long non-coding RNA, 6700 nt
Filed under: Sus scrofa (pig)
Lineage: Eukaryota; Metazoa; Chordata; Mammalia; Artiodactyla; Suidae
Description: lncRNA (ENSSSCG00005021036.1)
Source: RNAcentral
AGUCACUUCCCUCUCUGGGCCUCAUUUCCCCCAUUUGUAAAGCGAAGCCUUUGCAGGCAGAUGUGCAAGAGUUGGAUCCCAGACAUUGUCCGAGAUAUUGGGCAAGUUCUUCCCCAGGUGGAGCCUCAGUUUCCAUCUCAGGGCCCUGAAGGCACUGAGGUGCUUUUUGAGAUUUUAGGCCUAAGUUGCAGAGUGGCAGGGAGGUGUGUGUGUGUGUGUGUGUCUGUCUGUCUGUCUACAGGAUGGUCUGCAGAGUAAGGAGAAGAGUUGGCUCUGGGGGCCCAUCCAGGAAGGGUCUGGGUAAACCCAGAUUAUAGUGGGGUGGAGUGUGCUUGUCUUGGUCCUCCAGGAUCCUAGAGCCUUUGAGAUGGGGAAGUUUUAUAUAGGUCUCCAUAGAGACAGAAGAGGAAGGAAUCCUUGGAGCCUCUUGGGGUUUUGAUUGAAAUUUAGGCCCAAAAGAGUUCAGGUGGACUAGGAGGAGGAAGGGGAACAUUUAUGGUGCUCCUACUAUGUGUCAUACCUGGUUUAGGCAUAUGUUCUUAUUUAAUUUUUACAGCUACCCUUGAGAAUUUGCACAUAAGGAAACUUAAAUUUCAGAGGAGUUAAGUAACUUGCCCAAGGUCACACAGUAAAGUGCAAUGCUUACCAACACGAAGGUGUUUCCUUUGAGAAUCAUUGAGCCAGGGAGAAUUCACUGUCCACUUAAAGGAAGUUUGCUUUGUCACACAUUGGGGGAGAGGUCGGGUCCUAGACACUUGAACUGACUUUUGAAAAAAAAUUCAUUUUACUGAAGUAUAGUUGAGUUACUUGAAUUCUGGCAUGGGGACAGGCUGGGUCUUGAUCUCUAGACAGUAAAUUGUAACCCUUUGUUCAGCCUGUGAGUUGAAAAGGACCAUUUCUAAAUUGUAAAAGUCACAUUGAAGUGUGUCAGAACCUCAGCAAACUCAGUUUGAAUCCUUGCUGUGUGGCCUGUACAAGAAAGUUCACCAACUAUUGGUGCAUAGACUUGAUUCUCAAUUCAGAGUUGAUGCCAGGCUAGUAACUUUUUCUUUUCCCCAAAAAGGCCAAGUUUUCCUGGGAUGGAUGAAAUUCCGUAUUUGUUAGUGCAAAUUUCUUUUGAUUGCCAGGGUGAAAGUUUCAGUAGCCGGACUCUUGAUUAAGUGAAAUGCUCCUUUAUUUGUGCUUCCUGUUAUUUGACUUCUAGAUGAUGAAAAUUGUGGACCUAGAGUGGGUACUAUAAAUUGCAGCCCGAAAUUUUUCCAAGCCUCAGAGCUUUUGGUUAAUCAAAAUGGUAGGACGGCAGUGUGUAUUGUACUCAUAUGUCAGUGGUAGGGAAGAAAAUUGGAAGAGGAAGUUGCUGAGAAAGAGGGCGUUUCUUAGCAGUGGAGCCAAUAUGUAUUUCUUUGUUUGAAAUUCUAAAACCAGAAAAGCAGCAACUGAAGGAGGAAGGAAGGAAAGAACUCUGAAACUCCUCUUCCCGUUGAAAUACCUUUAGACUGUCCCUGUUACUGUCCCGUCUGAGGCUCUGCUUUCAUGGAAAAAGUCAAUUGUAAUUUGUUCAAUGUUCAGAAGUUGUAUUCUAGAAUGAAAGAAUUUUAAAUCUUAAACCGUCUGAUUUAAUGAAAAAAAAUCAGAACACCUUACUGAAUACGUUACUUAUCAGUAGAUGAUUCUUUUUCUCAACAUAAUUACCAGUUGUGGUCUUUGGGUUUCUUUUUUUAAAAAACUGAUUUAAAUUAGUGAAUUGCAGGAGUUCCCCUGUGGCUCAGCUGUAAUGAACCUGACUAGUAUCCACGAGGACGCAGGUUCAAUCCCUGGCCUCUCUCAGUGGGUUAAGGAUCCAAUGUUGCCGUGAGCUGUGGUGUAGGUUGCAGACGCGACUCCGAUCCCAUGUUGCUGUGGCUGUGGUGUGGGUCAGCAGCUACAGCUCCAAUUCAACCCCUAGCCUGAACUUCCAUAUGCCUUGGGUGAGGCCAUAAAAAGGCAACAACAACAAAAUGAGUGGAUUUCAACCUAAGAGGAAUUGAUCUAGGUAUUGGAUGAUGCAGAUAUCACCAUCACUUGAAAAACAUGUAAUGGUGUGUUCGGUUUUUGACAUUUGUUAGAAGUCUUUAUAAUGCUUUAUUUUUAUGGGAUUGUCUGUGUUAAUAGUUAAGACAUUGAAUUUAUUGCUUGUGAAAAUCUACCCAUUCAGUCUCUGUAUUAGUUAUAUUUUCUGUAUAAGAUUUAAUCUUAAUUACUGUACCAGCCUACAGUACCUUGGGAUCAAAAGAAAAAAGUUCUUGAGGCCAAAUGUGCUUCUGAAUUGAGAAUUUUUUGGAUUUUAGAAAAGGAGUAUGGUGCAUGUUCUAUAUGUCAUCUAAUAUCCCAGAGAGGUGUAGGGCAGCAGCUGCAUUAUUAUUUCUGCAGUAAAAUGUCAGACUGUUCACAGGAACUGCAGUAAAAACCAUAAAUAGCCUCAUGUCAUUUCACAUCAGGAUUUGUCACCAAAUAAAUAAUGAGAAACUUUUUUAUAGCCCUUUGGAUUUUGGAAUUGAAAUUAAGGGAUUCCGGACUUUUAUGGGUGAAACAUACAAUGACAAGAACAAGGACAGAUUUUGUAAACCAAGCUCUAUUUGAGUCAUCAGUCCUAAAAAUAGUAUCAGAAGACACUUUUCUUCUUUUGUUUCAUGUGACAGUCUUGUUGUAUUUUGGCUGCACCUGAGACAGGUGUAAGUUCCCUGGCCAGGGAUCAAACCCACGCCACAGCAGCGAUCCAAGCCCCUGCAUUGAAAAUGCUGGAUCCUUAACCCACUGUCACACAAGAGAACUACUCAUGUGACAGCCUUAUUCUGAUUAUGCCAAUAUGCAUUUUUCCGUAAGUACCUAAUUUUACCUUUUAAUACCAUCAUUGGUCCCUAUUUUAGAUGUUUGAAUGACACCUUGCUCUCUUUAAAAAAAAAAAAAAUUAUUUAUUUAUUGGUCUUUUUGUCUUUCAGGGCCGCACCUGCAGCACAUGAAGUUCCUGGGCUAGGGGUUGUAUCGGAGCUGCAGCUGAGACUCAUGCCACAGCCACAGCCACAGCCACACCAGAUCUUAGCUGCAUCUGUGUCCUAUGCUGCUUGCGGCAACACUGGAUCCUUAAACCACUGAGUGAGUCCAGGGAUCAAAUCCAAGUCCUCAUAGAGGGUUGGGUUCUUAACUUGCUGAGCUACAAUGGGAACUCCAAAAUUAAAACAUUUUUAAUUUAUUAUGCCUUUUGGUAAGAUACAUACAUACAUAUAGAGUAUUUAAUUUAAGGUAUUUUUUAUUUCAAGUGUAUGCCGUAUGAAAAACUAGAUUUUACCAGCCUUAUGAAUUUGAUUUCUUUAAAUGGCCAAGGACCUCUAGAAGCAAAUUUAUAAACAUUCAGUCUACUCUUUACUUUUCUUGGACACUUCAACUGUAGACUGAGGUGGACUGGUAUUGUUGGAGGUUAAAUAAUUAUUUCUUCUCUUUAAAAGAAGGCCCAUGACAGUUUGAAUUUGAGAGAUUCUGGCCGUUAGGACAGCCACCUGGUUUGAGGGUCUCAAUUCAUCCUCCUACAUGGGGUGUCGCCAUAGUUCCUGAGAAUGGUACUUUCACUGGGAGAUAGAAGGGCUGUGGAACAGUGUAUCAGGAGUUACAGGUGCAGUUGGUGUUUGAUUGGACUAGGGAAUAAGAACAGUUGUUAUCCAGGUUACCUCAGUUUCUCCUAUUUCAUAAACACUGAUAAUAUUGCAGAAGGAUUACAAAUUAGUGAACAAACAUUCUGUUACAAGUUACUCUUUGUGACUGUGGAUAAGCUUUUCUAACCAGAAACUUGUCUUAUGCUUCUUUGUAUUCUGUAAAGCCUAAAGGCCAGGGCAGCAAACUUGUCUUAAAUCAGAAUUUACCAUUAAAAAAUAAAUUAUACUUGGGAGCUCUGAUGUCCGUAAACAACCAGGGUUGAGAACCAUUGAUGUGAGCACAGUGUAGGUGUUCAGUAAAUGUUGAUUAAUUUGCUAUUGGUCCUGGAGUGAAUUGGGUAGUGUGGAAGAGAACCCAAAUUUUUUCGUAAAGUAACUUUCCAAGAUACCAAAACACAUCCAACAAAAGGCAGAUCUGGACCCAUAGUCAAUUCAUUGCUAGUUACUCUGCCAGCAUCAUCACCCUGAUUUUGUGAUCUAGGAAAGAUUAGAUACAGUCUUGUCAACAGGCAACUGAAAGUCUUGUUUAAGCCUUACUGACAACUAAGAGAAUUGCUAAAUGAAAGAAUUGUUGGGGAUUUGUGACAGGGAGGUAGGCUGGUGGACACCAAUGAUGCCAAGGGAAGAAGUGGAAAGUUGUAAUUUGACUGUGUCUUCAACACGUAACACAAUGUAUGGAACAUAAUUGGUGUUCCAUAGUUUCUGUUGACUUAAGAUAUGAGAUAGCUCUUUGGAAAGAGGCAUAUAAGCUGUAAAAUAAGGUACUUUUUACUCAUCCUUCAGAACUGAGCUAAGAUGCCAUCUAAUUUGUGAAUCAUUCUUAGGAAAAGUCGAGUGACUCCUUUUUAUGCUUUCUCCUUCAUUAAAGCAUUUAUCAGAUAUCAGACAAAUGCUAAAUAAAGCUUUCUCCUACCUGAUGAUGAGCUCUAUAAGGGCUGGAUUGUAUUAUUCUUUUCCCUUCCUUCCUUCCAUGUGUGUGGCAUGUGGAAGUUCCUGGGCUGGGGAUUGAACCCGUACAACAGCAUGACAAUGCCAGAUUCUUAAUCCGCUAUGCCACACACAAAGAACUCAUGUACUGUUCAUUUUUGUAUGUCUGGUGUGCAACAUACAAUAAAGGCUUAAUAGAUUUUAGCAAUGUUUAAGUCAGAUCUCUGUCUUUCAUUCUUGUAGGCUUUUCUUUCUUCCAAUUCAUGGUCUUUCCUUUUCUGUUCUGAUCAGCAAACAUUUAUUGAGAGGUAGGGCUUUCUUGGUCCCUGUGGAGGGGUUUCUCAUCCUUGGUACUGUUGACAUUUUGAGCCAGAUAAAACCCUGUAUUGUGAUAGUCUGUACUGUGCAUUGAAGGAUAUUUAGCAGCAUCCCUAGUCUUUACCCACUGCCUUGUAAAUCUGCACCCCCCCCCGUUUUGUGACAACCAGAAAUGUCUCCAAAAGAGUUCCUGCUGUGGCUCAGCAGGUUAAGAAGUUGAGUAGUAUCCAUGAGGAUGAGAGUUCCAUCCUUGGCCUUGCUCAGUGGGUUAAGGAUCCGACGUUGCUGUGAGCUGCAGUGUAGGUCGCAGAUACAGCUUGGAUCUGGUGUUGGUGUGGCUGUUGUAUGCCUGUAGCUGUAGCUCUGAUUCAACCCCUAGCCUGGAAACUUCCAUAUGCUGUCGGUGUGGCCCUAAAAAGAAAAAAAAAAAGUAUCCAGAUAUUGUCAGAUGUCCCUUAGGGAGCAAAAUUGCCCCCUGUUGAAAACGAUGUCAAGAGUAGGGAUAGUGGGGUCAUGGAAGUGAGUAUAGAUGUCCUCAGUGUGUGCUAUCCUUUCAUGGCUUCUGUCUGGUUAUAUAGGAUCUUGUUUCUGACUUUUAGAUAAGAAAGAAAAAUGAGAGAAAUCAGGAGAUGACAGCCUUAAAAUAGCCCCAUUAUUUUUAUUCUGUUCAAAUUUAUUUUAAUUUUUUUUUCCUGCUGUACAACAUGGGGACCAAGUUACACCUACAUGUAUACUAUUCUGUUGAAAUUUUAUUUGGUUUAACUGUAUUAGAGCAAUACAGACAGCUAAAUUAUUUAUGUAGAUUUAUGUAAAUUGUUUCUGCCACUGAUUAGAUGGAGUAAAGAACUAUUAGAAUAUUACUACCUUAAAUAAAAGACUGUUUCUCAGAAAAGCUAAUAACUGAAAAGUUUAACAUCCAAAGAAUAACCAGCAUUGGUUUUAUAGAGAAUUUGCCAGGACUUGUUAGGAUUCUUUGCUAAAUUUUGGGCUUCAUAGCUAAGAUAUAUUGUAUCUGUUAAUAUCCUUAGAUACUUUAUAACUCUAAAAAACAUGCUUAUCUAAUGGGCAUGUUUUUCUAAGGUCAGUAUUUUUCCUGAGAGGAAGAUUGGUCAAGGCAGUUGUCCUUUGGGCAUUCAUAAAAUAGUGACAAGUUAGUAGUAACACUGGGGAAUUUCACUCCUUUGGCCAACCCGCUGCAAUAUAAUCAUUCAUGUCUUAGUCACCAUUGAAGUGAAGUUGAAUGAGUGCUUUUUUUCCUGUUCCAUUUGAAGUUAUGAAUAGUACUCUAGAGAAUUCAAAUGUAUAGUUAUGAAUGGUAUCUCAGAAUAGUUACCAUUUAUGCAAAUGAAGCACACUUCUUAACUUAGAAACCAAACAGAAUUGAAUUAGAAAAGAGAAGAAUAGAAACAAGGAUUGUUGAAUGCUUGCAGAGGAAAUAAUGUUCAGAUAUAGAAGUAUGUCAGAAAAACUUGGUCUUCAUCAUGAUUUCUAUAUACUAAUAAAAACAGGUUGAGAUUGAUGGGAGAGACUAUUGAACUUUGCCUGUGAUAUUACUUUUCAGGCUGUUUUUCUUUUCAGGUAAAAUACAAAAACGUCUGAGACAUACUCUCUUAGUUGUAAGAUUAAUUCCAGUUGAACACAAUUGUUUCUUAUUUUUAGACUAUAGAGGCCCUUUUGGGAAGAAGCAGUGGUUCAACUCAGUUCCAAUUUGAGUGAAUAUGUGUGUACGUAUGAACACAUUCAUACGUACACACAUAUUUGUGACAUAG